Molecule: ribosomal RNA, 2881 nt
Filed under: Burkholderia multivorans
Lineage: Bacteria; Pseudomonadati; Pseudomonadota; Betaproteobacteria; Burkholderiales; Burkholderiaceae
Description: 23S ribosomal RNA
Rfam family: Bacterial large subunit ribosomal RNA
Source: RNAcentral
GGUCAAGCGAACAAGUGCAUGUGGUGGAUGCCUUGGCGAUCACAGGCGAUGAAGGACGCGGUAGCCUGCGAAAAGCCCCGGGGAGCUGGCAAACAAGCUUUGAUCCGGGGAUGUCCGAAUGGGGAAACCCACUCCGUAUGGAGUAUCCAUGACUGAAUACAUAGGUCAUGUGAAGCGAACGCGGUGAACUGAAACAUCUAAGUAACCGCAGGAAAAGAAAUCAACCGAGAUUCCCAAAGUAGUGGCGAGCGAAAUGGGAUGAGCCUUGUACUCUUUAUUUGUAUUGUUAGCCGAACGCUCUGGAAAGUGCGGCCAUAGCAGGUGAUAGCCCUGUAGGCGAAAACAGUAUGAAAGAACUAGGUGUACGACAAGUAGGGCGGGACACGUGAAAUCCUGUCUGAAGAUGGGGGGACCAUCCUCCAAGGCUAAAUACUCGUGAUCGACCGAUAGUGAACCAGUACCGUGAGGGAAAGGCGAAAAGAACCCCGGGAGGGGAGUGAAAUAGAUCCUGAAACCGCAUGCAUACAAACAGUCGGAGCCUCGUAAGGGGUGACGGCGUACCUUUUGUAUAAUGGGUCAGCGACUUACGUUCAGUAGCAAGCUUAACCGUAUAGGGCAGGCGUAGCGAAAGCGAGUCCGAAUAGGGCGUUCAGUUGCUGGGCGUAGACCCGAAACCAGGUGAUCUAUCCAUGGCCAGGAUGAAGGUGCGGUAACACGUACUGGAGGUCCGAACCCACUAACGUUGAAAAGUUAGGGGAUGAGCUGUGGAUAGGGGUGAAAGGCUAAACAAACCUGGAAAUAGCUGGUUCUCUCCGAAAACUAUUUAGGUAGUGCCUCGUGUCUCACCUUCGGGGGUAGAGCACUGUCAUGGUUGGGGGGUCUAUUGCAGAUUACCCCGCCAUAGCAAACUCCGAAUACCGAAGAGUGCAAUCACGGGAGACAGACAUCGGGUGCUAACGUCCGGUGUCAAGAGGGAAACAACCCAGACCGCCAGCUAAGGUCCCCAAAUAUGGCUAAGUGGGAAACGAAGUGGGAAGGCUAAAACAGUCAGGAGGUUGGCUUAGAAGCAGCCACCCUUUAAAGAAAGCGUAAUAGCUCACUGAUCGAGUCGUCCUGCGCGGAAGAUGUAACGGGGCUAAGCCAUAUACCGAAGCUGCGGAUGCGUGCUUGCACGCAUGGUAGGAGAGCGUUCCGUAAGCCUGCGAAGGUGCCUUGUAAAGGGUGCUGGAGGUAUCGGAAGUGCGAAUGCUGACAUGAGUAGCGAUAAAGGGGGUGAAAGGCCCCCUCGCCGUAAGCCCAAGGUUUCCUACGCAACGUUCAUCGGCGUAGGGUGAGUCGGCCCCUAAGGCGAGGCAGAAAUGCGUAGCUGAUGGGAAGCAGGUCAAUAUUCCUGCACCAUUGUUAGAUGCGAUGGGGGGACGGAUCGCGGAAGGUUGUCCGGGUGUUGGACGUCCCGGUCGCUGCAUUGGAGAAGGCGCUUAGGCAAAUCCGGGCGCAGGAUUCAAGGGUGUGGCGCGAGCGACUUCGGUCGCGAAGCAAUUGGAAGUGGUUCCAAGAAAAGCCUCUAAGCUUCAGUCUAACGAUGACCGUACCGCAAACCGACACAGGUGGGCGAGAUGAGUAUUCUAAGGCGCUUGAGAGAACUCGGGAGAAGGAACUCGGCAAAUUGGUACCGUAACUUCGGGAUAAGGUACGCCCUUGUAGCUUGACCAGCCUGCGCUGGAAGGGUGAAGGGGUUGCAAUAAACUGGUGGCUGCGACUGUUUAAUAAAAACACAGCACUCUGCAAACACGAAAGUGGACGUAUAGGGUGUGACGCCUGCCCGGUGCCGGAAGAUUAAAUGAUGGGGUGCAAGCUCUUGAUUGAAGUCCCGGUAAACGGCGGCCGUAACUAUAACGGUCCUAAGGUAGCGAAAUUCCUUGUCGGGUAAGUUCCGACCUGCACGAAUGGCGUAACGAUGGCCACACUGUCUCCUCCCGAGACUCAGCGAAGUUGAAGUGUUUGUGAUGAUGCAAUCUACCCGCGGCUAGACGGAGAGACCCCAUGAACCUUUACUGUAGCUUUGCAUUGGACUUUGAACCGAUCUGUGUAGGAUAGGUGGGAGGCUAUGAAACCGGAACGCUAGUUUCGGUGGAGCCGUCCUUGAAAUACCACCCUGGUUUGUUUGAGGUUCUAACCUUGGUCCGUGAUCCGGAUCGGGGACAGUGCAUGGUAGGCAGUUUGACUGGGGCGGUCUCCUCCCAAAGGGUAACGGAGGAGUACGAAGGUACGCUAGGUACGGUCGGAAAUCGUGCUGAUAGUGCAAUGGCAUAAGCGUGCUUAACUGCGAGACCGACAAGUCGAGCAGGUGCGAAAGCAGGUCAUAGUGAUCCGGUGGUUCUGUAUGGAAGGGCCAUCGCUCAACGGAUAAAAGGUACUCUGGGGAUAACAGGCUGAUACCGCCCAAGAGUUCAUAUCGACGGCGGUGUUUGGCACCUCGAUGUCGGCUCAUCUCAUCCUGGGGCUGUAGCCGGUCCCAAGGGUAUGGCUGUUCGCCAUUUAAAGAGGUACGUGAGCUGGGUUUAAAACGUCGUGAGACAGUUUGGUCCCUAUCUGCCGUGGGCGUUGGAUAUUUGAAGGGGGCUGCUCCUAGUACGAGAGGACCGGAGUGGACGAACCUCUGGUGUACCGGUUGUGACGCCAGUCGCAUCGCCGGGUAGCUAUGUUCGGAAGAGAUAACCGCUGAAAGCAUCUAAGCGGGAAACUCGCCUUAAGAUGAGAUAUCCCUGGAGGCUUGACCUCCUUGAAGGGUCGUUCGAGACCAGGACGUUGAUAGGUCGGGUGUGUAAGCGCAGUAAUGCGUUCAGCUAACCGAUACUAAUUGCCCGUAAGGCUUGAUCCU